AGCAGAGAGGUCGAGAAGAAUUAGUAUAGAGUAGUGCCCUUUGGAUUUAGCUGGGAUUAGGUCAUUUGUAACUUUAAUAAGAGCAGUCUCAGUAGAGUUGAGAGGUCGAAAGCCAGAUUGAAGAGGAUCGAGGAGGGAGUUGGAAUUUAGGAAGUGAGUCAUAUGAGUAAAGCCAAGUCUUUCUAGAAGUUUUGAGGGAAAAGGAAACAGGGAUGUGGGGUGAUAGUUGGAAGGGGAAGACGGGUCUAGG
Molecule: non-coding RNA, 250 nt
Organism: Pelobates cultripes (western spadefoot toad)
Lineage: Eukaryota; Metazoa; Chordata; Amphibia; Anura; Pelobatidae
Source: the annotation of a GenBank genome assembly